Non-coding RNA from Paramuricea clavata, 203 nucleotides. The record is from the annotation of a GenBank genome assembly. NCBI's taxonomy places the organism in Eukaryota, Metazoa, Cnidaria, Anthozoa, Malacalcyonacea, Plexauridae.
UUGACAUCGAAACGCUGUAUUUGGUGGCCUUAUUCAAAUGCAUUUUUACUGCGAUCAAAGACGAAAUCGAAUAAAGUGCUUCGGUAGAAAUUUAGAUAAAGGCCAUAAAUUUAGUCCUACCAAAUAUUAUAAAAGGAUGGCCUUAAAAACAAAAGUUAUUCGAAGCCGAAAUUCAUCAAUUUUAACAUUUUGGCUUCGAUGCG